AGCUGAUAGGGAUGGAAUUGCAGGAUCAUAGCCUGUGGGGAACUGUUUGGCAAGGGAAUGGUACAGGCUGUCUUCCAGCAGCUCAAGCAUGAGAAACAUUGUUCCAAGACAGCAGAUGGAUGGAUCACUAUAAAGGUAGUGGGAUCUCAGGUUGUGGAAUCAGGAAGAGAAAGUAAUUUUUGUCCACUGUGACAGAAACAUAUUUGAACAGAAAGCUGUCUCAGUAUCUCACAGUUUA
Molecule: long non-coding RNA, 238 nt
Organism: Empidonax traillii (willow flycatcher)
Lineage: Eukaryota; Metazoa; Chordata; Aves; Passeriformes; Tyrannidae
Exons: 3
Source: RefSeq, a predicted model, not a curated record